This 467-nucleotide ribosomal RNA is filed under the name uncultured bacterium. RNAcentral describes it as "partial 16S ribosomal RNA". It matches the Rfam family "Bacterial small subunit ribosomal RNA", at positions 29 to 507 of the family's 1533-position model. The record is from RNAcentral.
ACGCACGCUGGCGGCGUGCUUAACACCUGCAAGUCGAACGGAAAGGCCCUGCUUUUGUGGGGUGCUCGAGUGGCGAACGGGUGAGUAACACGUGAGUAACCUGCCCUUGACUUUGGGAUAACUUCAGGAAACAGGGGCUAAUACCGGAUAGGAGCUCCUGCUGCAUGGUGGGGGUUGGAAAGUUUCGGCGGUUGGGGAUGGACUCGCGGCUUAUCAGCUUGUUGGUGGGGUAGUGGCUUACCAAGGCUUUGACGGGUAGCCGGCCUGAGAGGGUGACCGGCCACAUUGGGACUGAGAUACGGCCCAGACUCCUACGGGAGGCAGCAGUGGGGAAUAUUGCACAAUGGGCGGAAGCCUGAUGCAGCAACGCCGCGUGCGGGAUGACGGCCUUCGGGUUGUAAACCGCUUUCGCCUGUGACGAAGCGUGAGUGACGGUAAUGGGUAAAGAAGCACCGGCUAACUACGUG